AGCCAAUCAGGAAUCCACUCCUUUACGUAUGCUACAACAUUGCGUGCUUAGCAGAACUGUGGCGUCUUAUUUAAGAAACGAGAAGGUAUAAAAGGAGCAACAUCGCGCCGCCAUUUCACAGCAGCUAGCGGCCGGCUUGACAUUACUGUGCGGAAGACAUGGCGCGCAAAUGCACACUGGCAUCAUCGGCUCUUGCGCUAUGUAUACUUAUAAGCCUGGUUGAUGAUAGUCCUGAAGCACAAAGUGGAGGCGUUCGUAUGGACUUCUCACCAAUUUACAUUAAGGACCAAGACAUCACAAAGGACGGAGAUAGUCAUCUAUGGACAGUUCUAUAAGUGUGAUGAUAUAUAUGGAAUGGAAAAUGGCCAGCGGACACACCCAAAUUGUCUUAGACUUACCCCAGCAGAUCCAACGUUUGGAACAAACUACAGAUUGGUCUAUUUAGAAUAUGGGAAGUGUUCUAUCUUCCGAGUGAUGGACGUGGGCGAAGGAUACGGCUGCGCGGUUCUUCUCAUCGAUUCGACUGUCGGCAACGGUAUGACUUCUGUUUGUAAGAUAGCCUAUAAACGAUUUUGCGGUGAGGAAAGUGCACUCCAAAAAGUGUAUAAAGACUGCAAAUAGCAAGGCGCCCAAGAACACACCAAGGAAAACAUCCAAGAAAACAUCUAAGCAAGUUAAUAAAGACACCCUUUCCCUUACUUUGCAAUAAAAUCGACUCACCAUAA
Molecule: unclassified non-coding RNA, 725 nt
Filed under: Dermacentor andersoni
Lineage: Eukaryota; Metazoa; Arthropoda; Arachnida; Ixodida; Ixodidae
Description: uncharacterized LOC126537984
Source: RNAcentral